This 404-nucleotide unclassified non-coding RNA is filed under the name soil metagenome. RNAcentral describes it as "partial contains 5.8S ribosomal RNA, internal transcribed spacer 2, and large subunit ribosomal RNA". The stretch from base 1 to 122 matches the Rfam family "5.8S ribosomal RNA", at positions 35 to 154 of the family's 154-position model. The record is from RNAcentral.
GAUGAAGAACGCAGCAAAAUGCGAUACUUGGUGUGAAUUGCAGAAUCCCGUGAACCAUCGAGUUUUUGAACGCAAGUUGCGCCCGAAGCCUUUUGGCCGAGGGCACGUCUGCCUGGGCAUCACGCAUCGCGUCGCCCCCCACAAAUUCUCCUCAGGGGAGCUUGUGUUUCGGGGGCGGAUACUGGUCUCCCGUGCUCAUGGCGCGGUUGGCCGAAAUAGGAGUCCCUUCGAUGGACGCACGAACUAGUGGUGGUCGUAAAAACCCUCGUCUUUUGUUUCGUGCCGUUAGUCGCGAGGGAAGCUCUUCAAAAGCCCCAGCGCGUCGUCUCUUGACGGCGCUUCGACCGCGACCCCAGGUCAGGCGGGACUACCCGCUGAGUUUAAGCAUAUCAAUAAGCGGAGGA